CCUAGGGUGUGCUGCAGUGGGGAAUAUUGGACAAUGGGCGAAAGCCUGAUCCAGCCAUGCCGCGUGUGUGAAGAAGGCCUUCGGGUUGUAAAGCACUUUCAGUGGGGAAGAAAGCCUUGGGGCUAAUACCCUCGAGGAAGGACAUCACCCACAGAAGAAGCACCGGCUAACUCCGUGCCAGCAGCCGCGGUAAUACGGAGGGUGCGAGCGUUAAUCGGAAUUACUGGGCGUAAAGCGCGCGUAGGCGGUCUGAUAAGCCGGUUGUGAAAGCCCCGGGCUCAACCUGGGAACGGCAUCCGGAACUGUCAGGCUAGAGUGCAGGAGAGGAAGGUAGAAUUCCCGGUGUAGCGGUGAAAUGCGUAGAGAUCGGGAGGAAUACCAGUGGCGAAGGCGGCCUUCUGGACUGACACUGACGCUGAGGUGCGAAAGCGUGGGUAGCAAACAGGAUUAGAUACCCUAGUAGUC
This 465-nucleotide ribosomal RNA is filed under the name Vreelandella stevensii. RNAcentral's name for it is "partial 16S ribosomal RNA". It matches the Rfam family "Bacterial small subunit ribosomal RNA", at positions 338 to 795 of the family's 1533-position model. The record is from RNAcentral. Lineage: Bacteria; Pseudomonadati; Pseudomonadota; Gammaproteobacteria; Oceanospirillales; Halomonadaceae.